UGUUUUCAUAGGCCAUGUAGAGC
This 23-nucleotide microRNA is filed under the name Brachypodium distachyon (stiff brome). RNAcentral's name for it is "bdi-miR7729b-5p". The record is from miRBase by way of RNAcentral. Lineage: Eukaryota; Viridiplantae; Streptophyta; Magnoliopsida; Poales; Poaceae.